GAUGAACGCUGGCGGCGUGCCUAAUACAUGCAAGUCGAGCGAACAGACGAGGAGCUUGCUCCUCUGACGUUAGCGGCGGACGGGUGAGUAACACGUGGAUAACCUACCUAUAAGACUGGGAUAACUUCGGGAAACCGGAGCUAAUACCGGAUAAUAUAUUGAACCGCAUGGUUCAAUAGUGAAAGACGGUUUUGCUGUCACUUAUAGAUGGAUCCGCGCCGCAUUAGCUAGUUGGUAAGGUAACGGCUUACCAAGGCAACGAUGCGUAGCCGACCUGAGAGGGUGAUAGGCCACCCUGGAACUUAGACACGGUCCAGACUCCUACGGGAGGCAGCAGUAGGGAAUCUUCCGCAAUGGGCGAAAGCCUGACGGAGCAACGCCGCGUGAGUGAUGAAGGUCUUCGGAUCGUAAAACUCUGUUAUUAGGGAAGAACAAAUGUGUAAGUAACUAUGCACGUCUUGACGGUACCUAAUCAGAAAGCCACGGCUAACUACGUG
Molecule: ribosomal RNA, 497 nt
Filed under: uncultured bacterium
Lineage: Bacteria
Description: partial 16S ribosomal RNA
Rfam family: Bacterial small subunit ribosomal RNA
Source: RNAcentral